UGGCAAUCUGCGGGUCGACGAUUCUACGGGAGGCAGCAGUGAGGAAUAUUGGGCAAUGGGCGAAAGCCUGACCCAGCCACGCCGCGUGAGUGAUGAAGGCCUUCGGGUCGUAAAGCUCUGUGGGGAGGGACGAAAAAUCUCCAUUCGAAUAGGAUGGAGACCUGACGGUACCUCCUUAGCAAGCACCGGCUAACUCUGUGCCAGCAGCCGCGGUAAUACAGAGGGUGCGAACGUUGCUCGGAUUUACUGGGCGUAAAGCGCGUGUAGGCGGACUCGCAAGUCGGUUGUGAAAUCCCUGGGCUUAACCUAGGAACUGCAUCCGAAACUGCUUGUCUUGAGUAAUGGAGAGGGUGGCGGAAUUCCCGGUGUAGAGGUGAAAUUCGUAGAUAUCGGGAGGAACAUCAGUGGCGAAGGCGGCCACCUGGACAUUUACUGACGCUGAGACGCGAAAGCGUGGGGAGCAAACAGGAUUAGAUACCCUGGUAGUCCACGCCGUAAACGAUGAGCAUUAGGUGCAGCGGAUAUUGACCUCUGCUGUGCCGUAGCUAACGCGUUAAAUGCUCCGCCUGGGGAGUACGGCCGCAAGGCUAAAACUCAAAUGAAUUGACGG
This 610-nucleotide ribosomal RNA is filed under the name uncultured delta proteobacterium. RNAcentral describes it as "bacterial SSU rRNA". It matches the Rfam family "Bacterial small subunit ribosomal RNA", at positions 314 to 916 of the family's 1533-position model. The record is from RNAcentral. Lineage: Bacteria; Deltaproteobacteria.